RNAcentral lists this ribosomal RNA (497 nucleotides) under uncultured bacterium. Its description in RNAcentral is "partial 16S ribosomal RNA". It matches the Rfam family "Bacterial small subunit ribosomal RNA", at positions 28 to 507 of the family's 1533-position model. The record is from RNAcentral.
GACGAACGCUGGCGGCGUGCCUAAUACAUGCAAGUCGAGCGGACAGACGCGUUCCUUUCUCGUCUGUCUUUAUCAGCGGCCGAGUGAGUAGCACGUCGAUAAUCUCCCUAUACCACUGUGAUAAUUUCGGCAUACCGGAGUUACUACUGCGGAAUAUAUUGAACCUCUUGGUUCAUUAGUCUAAGACGGUUUUGCUUUCGCUUAUAGAUGGUCUCGCGCCGUAUUAGCUAGUUGGUGGGGUGACGGCUUACCAAGGCAGCGAUGCGUGGCCGACCUGAGAGGGGGAUCGGCCACACUGGAACGGAGACACGGCCCAGACGCCUACGGCAGGCAGCAGUAGGGAGUCUUCCGCAAUGGUCGGAAGCCGGACGGAGCAGCGCCGCGUGAGUGAUGAAGGUCUUCGGAGCGUAGAGCUCUGCUAUUGGGGAAGAACAAAUGUGUAAGUAACUAUGCACGGCUUGACGGUACCUGAUCAGAAAGCCACGGCUAACUACGUG